RNAcentral lists this ribosomal RNA (254 nucleotides) under uncultured bacterium. Its description in RNAcentral is "partial 16S ribosomal RNA". It matches the Rfam family "Bacterial small subunit ribosomal RNA", at positions 524 to 776 of the family's 1533-position model. The record is from RNAcentral.
UACGUAGGGUCCAAGCGUUAUCCGGAAUCACUGGGCGUAAAGGGCGUGUAGGCGGGAAGGAAAGUCAGAUGUGAAAUCCCCAGGCUCAACCUGGGAACUGCAUUUGAAAACUCCCUUUCUUGAGUACCGGAGAGGAAAGUGGAAUUCCUGGUGUAGAGGUGAAAUUCGUAGAUAUCAGGAGGAACACCAGUGGCGAAGGCGGCUUUCUGGACGGUAACUGACGCUGAGACGCGAAAGCGUGGGGAGCAAACAGG